GAUGAACGCUGGCGGCGUGCCUAAUACAUGCAAGUCGGACGGGGUAUUUGAGUAAUCGAAUACUUAGUGGCGAACGGGUGAGUAACGCGUUGGUGACCUACCCCAAAGCGGGGGAUAACAACCUGAAAGGGUUGCUAAUACCGCAUAUGGUUGAGAGAGACUAGAAGCUCUCAAUUAAAGGAGCAAUCCACUUUGGGAGGGGCCUGCGUCCCAUCAGCUAGUUGGUAGGGUAAAAGCCUACCAAGGCGAUGACGGGUAGGGGACCUGAGAGGGUGACCCCCCACAAUGGAACUGAAACACGGUCCAUACACCUACGGGUGGCAG
RNAcentral lists this ribosomal RNA (324 nucleotides) under uncultured Chloroflexota bacterium. Its description in RNAcentral is "bacterial SSU rRNA". It matches the Rfam family "Bacterial small subunit ribosomal RNA", at positions 28 to 351 of the family's 1533-position model. Lineage: Bacteria; Bacillati; Chloroflexota. The record is from RNAcentral.